GACGAACGCUGGCGGCGGGCUUAACACAUGCAAGUCGAACGGAAAGGCCCUGCUUUUGUGGGGUGCUCGAGGGGCGAACGGGUGAGUAACACGUGAGUAACCUGCCCUUGACUUUGGGAUAACUUCAGGAAACUGGGGCUAAUACCGGAUAGGAGCUCCUGCUGCAUGGUGGGGGUUGGAAAGUUUCGGCGGUUGGGGAUGGACUCGCGGCUUAUCAGCUUGUUGGUGGGGUAGUGGCUUACCAAGGCUUCGACGGGUAGCCGGCCUGGGAGGUUGACCGGCCACAUUGGGACUGAGGUACGGAGCAGAGUCCUACGGGAGGCAGCAGUGGGAAAUAUUGCACAAUGGGCGGAAGCCUGAUGCGGCAACGCCGCGUGCGGGAUGACGGCCUUCGGGUUGUAAACCGCUUUCGCCUGUGACGAAGCGUGAGUGACGGUAAUGGGUAAAGAAGCACCGGCUAACUACGUG
Molecule: ribosomal RNA, 468 nt
Filed under: uncultured bacterium
Lineage: Bacteria
Description: partial 16S ribosomal RNA
Rfam family: Bacterial small subunit ribosomal RNA
Source: RNAcentral